This 232-nucleotide long non-coding RNA is filed under the name Nicotiana benthamiana. Its description in RNAcentral is "long non-coding RNA (NBEN_LNC034778)". The record is from RNAcentral. Lineage: Eukaryota; Viridiplantae; Streptophyta; Magnoliopsida; Solanales; Solanaceae.
UUUCUCAAGGAUUUAUAUACCUUAAAUACAUAAUCAAAUAUCUACAUAAGUUCCGUGAUUUAACAAGUCAAACUAAACAUGAUAUUGGUAAAAAUUACCCAAACACGUUUGAACAAAAAUUUUGGACAGAUUCACUGUUCCGAGUUAUGACCCAGCUUUGAAGAUCUAUACAGAGAAACUAGAUUUUAUGGUAUUCAUAAAAGUUGUAGGUAUAUGUCUUAGAAUUUCAAAA